This 1719-nucleotide ribosomal RNA is filed under the name Salmonella enterica subsp. enterica serovar Enteritidis. RNAcentral describes it as "partial 23S ribosomal RNA". It matches the Rfam family "Bacterial large subunit ribosomal RNA", at positions 1223 to 2925 of the family's 2925-position model. The record is from RNAcentral. Lineage: Bacteria; Pseudomonadati; Pseudomonadota; Gammaproteobacteria; Enterobacterales; Enterobacteriaceae.
GUUGGGUAGGGGAGCGUUCUGUAAGCCUGCGAAGGUGGCCUGUGAGGGUUGCUGGAGGUAUCAGAAGUGCGAAUGCUGACAUAAGUAACGAUAAAGCGGGUGAAAAGCCCGCUCGCCGGAAGACCAAGGGUUCCUGUCCAACGUUAAUCGGGGCAGGGUGAGUCGACCCCUAAGGCGAGGCCGAAAGGCGUAGUCGAUGGGAAACGGGUUAAUAUUCCCGUACUUGGUGUUACUGCGAAGGGGGGACGGAGAAGGCUAUGUUGGCCGGGCGACGGUUGUCCCGGUUUAAGCGUGUAGGUGUGUGUUCCAGGUAAAUCCGGUUCACUUUAACACUGAGGCGUGACGACGAGGCACUACGGUGCUGAAGCAACAAAUGCCCUGCUUCCAGGAAAAGCCUCUAAGCAUCAGGUAACAUCAAAUCGUACCCCAAACCGACACAGGUGGUCAGGUAGAGAAUACCAAGGCGCUUGAGAGAACUCGGGUGAAGGAACUAGGCAAAAUGGUGCCGUAACUUCGGGAGAAGGCACGCUGACACGUAGGUGAAGUGAUUUACUCAUGGAGCUGAAGUCAGUCGAAGAUACCAGCUGGCUGCAACUGUUUAUUAAAAACACAGCACUGUGCAAACACGAAAGUGGACGUAUACGGUGUGACGCCUGCCCGGUGCCGGAAGGUUAAUUGAUGGGGUCAGCGCAAGCGAAGCUCCUGAUCGAAGCCCCGGUAAACGGCGGCCGUAACUAUAACGGUCCUAAGGUAGCGAAAUUCCUUGUCGGGUAAGUUCCGACCUGCACGAAUGGCGUAAUGAUGGCCAGGCUGUCUCCACCCGAGACUCAGUGAAAUUGAACUCGCUGUGAAGAUGCAGUGUACCCGCGGCAAGACGGAAAGACCCCGUGAACCUUUACUAUAGCUUGACACUGAACAUUGAGCCUUGAUGUGUAGGAUAGGUGGGAGGCUUUGAAGUGUGGACGCCAGUCUGCAUGGAGCCGACCUUGAAAUACCACCCUUUAAUGUUUGAUGUUCUAACGUGGACCCGUUACCCGGGUUGCGGACAGUGUCUGGUGGGUAGUUUGACUGGGGCGGUCUCCUCCUAAAGAGUAACGGAGGAGCACGAAGGUUGGCUAAUCCUGGUCGGACAUCAGGAGGUUAGUGCAAUGGCAUAAGCCAGCUUGACUGCGAGCGUGACGGCGCGAGCAGGUGCGAAAGCAGGUCAUAGUGAUCCGGUGGUUCUGAAUGGAAGGGCCAUCGCUCAACGGAUAAAAGGUACUCCGGGGAUAACAGGCUGAUACCGCCCAAGAGUUCAUAUCGACGGCGGUGUUUGGCACCUCGAUGUCGGCUCAUCACAUCCUGGGGCUGAAGUAGGUCCCAAGGGUAUGGCUGUUCGCCAUUUAAAGUGGUACGCGAGCUGGGUUUAGAACGUCGUGAGACAGUUCGGUCCCUAUCUGCCGUGGGCGCUGGAGAACUGAGGGGGGCUGCUCCUAGUACGAGAGGACCGGAGUGGACGCAUCACUGGUGUUCGGGUUGUCAUGCCAAUGGCACUGCCCGGUAGCUAAAUGCGGAAGAGAUAAGUGCUGAAAGCAUCUAAGCACGAAACUUGCCCCGAGAUGAGUUCUCCCUGAGACUUAAAGUCUCCUGAAGGAACGUUGAAGACGACGACGUUGAUAGGCCGGGUGUGUAAGCGCAGCGAUGCGUUGAGCUAACCGGUACUAAUGAACCGUGAGGCUU